Molecule: ribosomal RNA, 894 nt
Filed under: uncultured bacterium
Lineage: Bacteria
Description: bacterial SSU rRNA
Rfam family: Bacterial small subunit ribosomal RNA
Source: RNAcentral
AGAGUUUGAUCAUGGCUCAGGACGAACGCUGGUGGCGUGCUUAACACAUGCAAGUCGAACGGUGAAGCCCCUUCGGGGGUGGAUCAGUGGCGAACGGGUGAGUAACACGUGAGCAACCUGCCCCCUACUUCGGGAUAAGCCUUGGAAACGGGGUCUAAUACCGGAUAUGAACACUUGUCGCAUGGUGGGUGUUGGAAAGUUUUUCGGUGGGGGAUGGGCUCGCGGCCUAUCAGCUUGUUGGUGGGGUAAUGGCCUACCAAGGCGUCGACGGGUAGCCGGCCUGAGAGGGCGACCGGCCACACUGGGACUGAGACACGGCCCAGACUCCUACGGGAGGCAGCAGUGGGGAAUAUUGCACAAUGGGCGAAAGCCUGAUGCAGCGACGCCACGUGAGGGAUGACGGCCUUCGGGUUGUAAACCUCUUUCAGCAGGGAAGAAGCGUGAGUGACGGUACCUGCAGAAGAAGCGCCGGCUAACUACGUGCCAGCAGCCGCGGUAAUACGUAGGGCGCAAGCGUUGUCCGGAAUUAUUGGGCGUAAAGAGCUCGUAGGCGGUCUGUCGCGUCUGGUGUGAAAUCCCAUGGCUCAACUGUGGGCUUGCAUCGGGUACGGGCAGACUAGAGUGCUGUAGGGGAGACUGGAAUUCCUGGUGUAGCGGUGGAAUGCGCAGAUAUCAGGAGGAACACCGAUGGCGAAGGCAGGUCUCUGGGCAGUUACUGACGCUGAGGAGCGAAAGCAUGGGGAGCGAACAGGAUUAGAUACCCUGGUAGUCCAUGCCGUAAACGUUGGGCACUAGGUGUGGGGCCAGUUCCACUGGUUCUGUGCCGCAGCUAACGCAUUAAGUGCCCCGCCUGGGGUGUACGGCCGCAAGGCUAAAACUCAAAUGAAUUGACGG